GCUUAUUGGGUCAAUAAGAAAGAAGACUCCCCCCAGGUAUUAGGUCUUUUCCCCCUCUCUAUUAUUAUGGUAAGGAGUUAGGUAGGGUUAAUUAAUUUUAACAGAAGGAAUUCAGGGAUCCUAAUCAGUGCGAGAUGGUAAAGGGGGGCACUAUAAGAACGUCCCUUAUAGUAAUGUGGGGGUCUUAUUGACACCUAUGGGCUUUUUACCUACUUAUUUUUAAACUGUUUCAUGUCGUGGCUGUCACAGAAUUAACCCUUAAACUGCCGAUGCUAAUUAUUUGCCUGGUGGCUGCUAACAUCUUGACCUGGAAAUGAAGUUGAAAUGUUGACCAAAUUCAGGCCCAUUUGGAGCCUGAUUUGCAAAACCCAUUAAGAAUGGCCCCGUACAAAGACAAAUGGUUUUGCCCCAUUUUUAUGGACUUUAGGGAAUAAUCCUGUUAGCCAUAGGCAUCUGCAGGGGAGGGCAAGGGGGGGCACUUGCGCCCCCCCCCCAUGGAUUUUUCAGCUUGU
This is a non-coding RNA of Pelobates cultripes (western spadefoot toad), 512 nucleotides long. The record is from the annotation of a GenBank genome assembly. NCBI's taxonomy places the organism in Eukaryota, Metazoa, Chordata, Amphibia, Anura, Pelobatidae.